Molecule: ribosomal RNA, 1410 nt
Filed under: uncultured archaeon
Lineage: Archaea
Description: bacterial SSU rRNA
Rfam family: Archaeal small subunit ribosomal RNA
Source: RNAcentral
AGGUCACUGUUAUUAGGGUUCGACUAAGUCAUGCGAGGCGUGAGUCAUCUGGACUCGCCGAACUGCUCAGCAACACGUAGCUAACCUACCCUCAAGUGGAGAAUAAUCCUGAGAAAUUGGGGCUAAUGCUCCAUAGUUGUUGAAGGCUGGAAUGCAUCAACAACCAAAGCUUCGGCGCUUGAGGAUGGGACUGCGGCCUAUCAAGGCUGUUGUGAGUCUAAAAUACUCACAAACCGAUAACGGGUAGGGGCCAUGAGAGUGGAAGCCUCGAGAUGUCUUCUGAGACAUGAAGACAGGUCCUACGGGACGCAGCAGAUACGAAAACUUUCCAAUUGCUUAACGGCUGAGAAGGGAACCCUGAGUGGUUAUACACUGUAUAACCUUUUGUUUUGCCUAAAAAGCAAGACGAAUAAGUGGUGGGUAAGACGGGUGGCAGCCGCCGCGGUAAUACCCGCGCCACGAAUGGUGAUCGCGAUUAUUGGGUCUAAAGCGUCCGUAGCCGGUUUAACAAGUUCUUGGUGAAAUUUGCUAGCAAACUAGCAAGCUUGCAGAGAAUACUGUUAAACUUGGGAUUGGGAGAGGGUGAAGGUAUUUCACGGGUAGGGGUUAAAUCCUUUAAUCCGUGAAGGACCACCGGUGGCGAAGGCGUUCACCUGGAACAAGUCCGACGGUGAGGGACGAAAGCAUGGGGAGCAAACGGGAUUAGAUACCCCGGUAGUCCAUGCCGUAAACGAUGCCCGUUUGAUGUUGCAAGCUCUACAGGAGGUUGCAGUGUCGGAGUGUAGGUGUUAAACGGGCCACCUGGGGAGUACGACCGCAAGGUUGAAACUUAAGGGAAUUGGCGGGAGAGCACACAAGGGGUGGAGGCUGCGGUUUAAUUGGAUUCAACGCCAGGAACCUCACGAGGGUUGACAGCAGAAUGAAGGUCAAUUUAAAGGGUUUACCAGACAAGCUGAGAGGUGUUGCAUGGCCAUCGUCAGCUCGUACCUUGAGGCGUGCGGUUAAGUCCGUUAACGAGCGAGACCCACGCUGUCAUUUGCUAUCAUAUUUCAGAUCGAAAGAUCAAAAAAUAUGAGCACUAUGGCAGGACCGCUGGUGAUAAACCAGAGGAAGGAGUGGGCGACGGUAGGUCCGUAUGGCCCGAAUAUCCUCGGCUACACGCGGCCUACAAUGGUUGAGACAAUGUGUUGCAACGCCGAAAGGCGAAGCCAAUCACCUAAACUCAACCUCAGUUCAGAUUGAGGACUGUAACUCGUCCUCAUGAAGCCGGAAUCCCUAGUAAGCAAACGUCAUCAUCGUUCGCUGAAUGCGUCCCUGCUCUUUGCACACACCGCCCGUCAAGCCAUGCGAAUAGACUUUUGAUGAGGCUUUGCUUUAACAAAGUCGAAUCAAGGGUUUGUGAGUGGGGCU